This 72-nucleotide transfer RNA is filed under the name Brachypodium distachyon (stiff brome). It matches the Rfam family "tRNA". From Rfam's summary of the family: Transfer RNA (tRNA) molecules are approximately 80 nucleotides in length. The record is from Rfam by way of RNAcentral. Lineage: Eukaryota; Viridiplantae; Streptophyta; Magnoliopsida; Poales; Poaceae.
GGGGAUGUAGCUCAAUUGGUAGAGCAAUCGCAACGCUUGUGUUAGGUUCGGGGUUUGAUUCCUCCAUCUCCA